This 402-nucleotide unclassified non-coding RNA is filed under the name soil metagenome. RNAcentral describes it as "partial contains 5.8S ribosomal RNA, internal transcribed spacer 2, and large subunit ribosomal RNA". The stretch from base 1 to 121 matches the Rfam family "5.8S ribosomal RNA", at positions 35 to 154 of the family's 154-position model. The record is from RNAcentral.
GAUGAAGAACGCAGUGAAAUGCGAUAAGUAAUGUGAAUUGCAGAAUUCAGUGAAUCAUCGAAUCUUUGAACGCACCUUGCGCCCUUUGGCUAUUCUGAAGGGCAUGCCUGUUUGAGUAUCAUGAACACCUCAACUCUCAUGGUUUGCCAUGAUGAGCUUGGACUUUGGGGGUCUUGCUGGCCUACGGUCAGCUCCUCUCAAAUGAAUCAGCUUGCCAGUGUUUGGUAGAGUCGCAGGUGUGAUAACUAUCUACGCUUGUGGUUUUCUGCCAGAUAACCUUCAGUGAUGGAGGUUCGCUGGAGCUUAUAAAUGUCUCUCCCCAGUGAGGACAGCUUUUUGAACGUUUGAUCUCAAAUCAGGUAGGACUACCCGCUGAACUUAAGCAUAUCAAUAAGCGGAGGA